UGAUCAUGGCUCAGAACAAACGCUGGCGGCGUGCCUAACACAUGCAAGUCGAACGAGAAAUCCCGAGCUUGCUUGGGAGAGUAAAGUGGCGCACGGGGAGUAACGCGUGGGUAACCUACCUUUGAAUCUGGAAUAACCAGCCGAAAGGCUGACUAAUACCGGAUACGGUUUUUAGGACUUAGGUUCUUUAAAUUAAAGGUGACCUCUUCAUGAAAGUUGCCGUUCAUAGAUGGGCCCGCGUACCAUUAGCUAGUCGGUGGGGUAAUGGCCUACCAAGGCGACGAUGGUUAGCUGGUCUGAGAGGAUGAUCAGCCACACUGGAACUGGAACACGGUCCAGACUCCUACGGGAGGCAGCAGUGAGGAAUUUUGCGCAAUGGGGGAAACCCUGACGCAGCAACGCCGCGUGAGCGAAGAAGGCCCUCGGGUCGUAAAGCUCUGUCAAGUGGGAAAAAAAUCUUUUGAUCAAUAGUCAAAAGACUUGAUGGUACCACUGGAGGAAGCACCGGCUAACUCCGUGCCAGCAGCCGCGGUAAUACGGAGGGUGCAAGCGUUGUUCGGAUUUACUGGGCGUAAAGAGCGUGUAGGCGGUUUAGCAAGUCAGAUGUGAAAGCCCUGGGCUCAACCCGGGAAGUGCAUUUGAAACUGCUUCACUAGAGUAUGGGAGAGGAGAUUGGAAUUCCUGGUGUAGAGGUGAAAUUCGUAGAUAUCA
This 711-nucleotide ribosomal RNA is filed under the name uncultured bacterium. RNAcentral's name for it is "bacterial SSU rRNA". It matches the Rfam family "Bacterial small subunit ribosomal RNA", at positions 14 to 699 of the family's 1533-position model. The record is from RNAcentral.